Molecule: ribosomal RNA, 567 nt
Filed under: uncultured Glomeromycotina
Lineage: Eukaryota; Fungi; Glomeromycota
Description: SSU rRNA
Rfam family: Eukaryotic small subunit ribosomal RNA
Source: RNAcentral
UUGGAGGGCAAGUCUGGUGCCAGCAGCCGCGGUAAUUCCAGCUCCAAUAGCGUAUAUUAAAGUUGUUGCAGUUAAAAAGCUCGUAGUUGAACUUCGGAAUUUAUUCAUUGGUCAGGCUUAACUGUCUGUACUGGUGUGAUGAAUUCCUACCUUCUGAGGAAUCUCCAUGUCAUUCACUUGGUGUGGUGGGGAAUCAGGACUGUUACUUUGAAAAAAUUAGAGUGUUUAAAGCAGGCUAACGUCUGAAUACAUUAGCAUGGAAUAAUAAAAUAGGACGGCUUGGUUCUAUUUUGUUGGUUUCUAGGAUCACCGUAAUGAUUAAUAGGGAUAGUUGGGGGCAUUAGUAUUCAAUUGUCAGAGGUGAAAUUCUUGGAUUUAUUGAAGACUAACUACUGCGAAAGCAUUUGCCAAGGAUGUUUUCAUUAAUCAAGAACGAAAGUUAGGGGAUCGAAGACGAUCAGAUACCGUCGUAGUCUUAACCAUAAACUAUGCCGACUAGGGAUCGGAUGAUGUUAAUUUUUUAAUGACUCAUUCGGCGCCUUACGGGAAACCAAAGUGUUUGGGUUC